RNAcentral lists this ribosomal RNA (460 nucleotides) under uncultured bacterium. Its description in RNAcentral is "partial 16S ribosomal RNA". It matches the Rfam family "Bacterial small subunit ribosomal RNA", at positions 338 to 795 of the family's 1533-position model. The record is from RNAcentral.
CCUACGGGGGGCAGCAGUGAGGAAUAUUGGUCAAUGGACGAGCGUCUGAACCAGCCAAGUAGCGUGAAGGAAGACUGCCCUAUGGGUUGUAAACUUCUUUUAUAUGGGAGUAAAACAGGGUAUGCAUAGCCUCAUGUAUGUACCAUAUGAAAAAGGAACGGCUAACUCCGUGCCAUGAGCCGCGGUAAAUCUGAGGAACCGAGCGUUAUCCGGAUUUAUUGGGGUUAAAGGGAGCGGAGGUGGAUAGUCAAGUCAGUUGUUAAAGUUUGGGGCUCAACCGUAAAAUUGCAGUUGAAACUGGCAUUCUUGAGUACAGUAGAGGUGUGCGGAAUUCGUGGUGUAGCGGUGAAAUGCUUAGAUAUCACGAAGAACUCCGAUUGCGAAGGCAGCUCACUGGACUGCAACUGACACUGAUGCUCGAAAGUGUGGGUAUCAAACAGGAUUAGAUACCCUAGUAGUC